This 29-nucleotide small RNA is filed under the name Bombyx mori (domestic silkworm). Its description in RNAcentral is "ovarian small RNA-20503". Lineage: Eukaryota; Metazoa; Arthropoda; Insecta; Lepidoptera; Bombycidae. The record is from RNAcentral.
UACAUUUGGUUGCUCUACAUUGGUCGUGU